Molecule: ribosomal RNA, 460 nt
Filed under: uncultured Treponema sp.
Lineage: Bacteria; Pseudomonadati; Spirochaetota; Spirochaetia; Treponematales; Treponemataceae
Description: partial 16S ribosomal RNA
Rfam family: Bacterial small subunit ribosomal RNA
Source: RNAcentral
ACGGGAGGCAGCAGCUAAGAAUAUUCCGCAAUGGACGAAAGUCUGACGGAGCGACGCCGCGUGGAUGAUGAAGGCCGGAAGGUUGUAAAAUCCUUUUAUAACUGAGGAAUAAGUAAGGUGAGAGAAACGCCUUAUGGUGACUGUAGGUUAUGAAUAAGCAACGGCUAAUUACGUGCCAGCAGCCGCGGUAACACGUAAGUUGCGAGCGUUGUUCGGAAUUAUUGGGCGUAAAGGGCAUGUAGGCGGUUUUGCAAGCUUGGUGUGAAAUCCCGGAGCUUAACUCCGGAAUUGCGUUGAGAACUGCAUAACUAGAGUGACUGAGGGGCAGGCAGAAUUCCAGGUGUAGGGGUGAAAUCUGUAGAUAUCUGGAAGAAUACCAAUGGCGAAGGCAGCCUGCCAGCAGAUGACUGACGCUGAGGUGCGAAGGUGCGGGGAGCAAACAGGAUUAGAUACCCUGGUA